Eriocheir sinensis (Chinese mitten crab) is the source of this 1314-nucleotide long non-coding RNA. RefSeq lists it as uncharacterized. Lineage: Eukaryota; Metazoa; Arthropoda; Malacostraca; Decapoda; Varunidae. The transcript is spliced from 2 exons. The record is from RefSeq and is a predicted model, not a curated record.
GUCACCUGUACAGCAAGAGCAAGAGCAACAACAACAACAACGCCGAGGCGCCACCGUGAAGUGACAGCAUCCACCACUGACGGGGCUCUGGAGGCCGUGGUCCCGCAGCCUAACUAGCCCCAUAAAACACUCCAAAAGAAGAAUGUUUAAGAGUAGCCUAUGGCUGAUGUCAGCUUGCCCCGUCAUGGUGUAACGUCAUCACAUCACAAGUGUUGAUGUGGACAAAAAUGUUUUUGGUGCAGUGUUUGGAAAAAAGAACUGAGCAAUGAGAGGAGCAAAAAGAAAGGUGUAAUAGUGGAAACUAAGAAAAGGACAGAGAAGGGAAAGCCAAAAGAAAAACCAGAGUAAGCUAAAGUGAAGAAAAGAAAAAGGAAAGCAAGUCAGUGAAAGCAAAGUAUGCAGAAAAACAGAGCUCAGUGCAGGUGAAGUGAAUAAGUGUGCACAGUGUAGUAACUAAGUGUGAAGUACCUAUUUAACUAAAAUGCUUCUCAGUUUGUUCAGAUUCUGUAGGCUACAUAUUUGAAUGCCUUAUUUUUGUGUUUGUUUCUUAUUGUUUUUAACUUAUUAAAUUCUUAAUUUGCUUUCUUUUAUUUUGUACCAUAAAUGCAAUAUGCUAACUUGUCAGCAUUCGUUACCUGUCCCACUGAGACUGAUUGUUGCUUUAUUUGUAAGUCAUAUAUAAACAUAAGUAGUAAUGUAAUUUGUUGCAAGCUGUCCAAAUACUGUUUAAACACAAUAUAUUAUUGUACAGUGUUUGUUAAAAACAGUAAUUUAUCCACAGGAAAAGUAGAUGAACACUAGAUACCAUAAGGGUCUAGAAAAACCCACCAUCAGUUUGUUCCGAUUCUCUACCGAUUUGAAUGCUUCAUUUUUGUGUUUGUUUUACUUGUUUUUAACUUAUUAUAUUAUUAAUUCGCUUGCUUUUCUUUGUACUAUGAAUACAGUAUGCAAACUUUGUCAGCAUUCAUUACCUGUCAUAGUGAGUUUGAUUAUAGAUUUAUUUUUAAGUCACCGACAAGGGUGUAACUCAUUGCCGAAGUGCUACGGCCUCUGUAGCUUACUCUGUUCUGCUGAGGCAGUAGUACAGAUAUCCAGAAGAUCAACGGAACCCUUCAAACUUUCUCACUCAACCAUCCUCCACUCGGUGUUCGUCUGUAACAAUGUGUGAAUAUUGCCAGUAAUGUAGAUACAGUAAUAAUGGUCUCUCUCUCCUAGUAAUAUUAAUUAACUUAAUGAAAGGAUUUGAAACCUUGAUGCCGUGUUUGAACUGUUUUCUUUAGCUUGUAUAUAUAUUGUAGUAAACUCUUCAUUUUA